Molecule: ribosomal RNA, 460 nt
Filed under: uncultured bacterium
Lineage: Bacteria
Description: partial 16S ribosomal RNA
Rfam family: Bacterial small subunit ribosomal RNA
Source: RNAcentral
CCUACGGGAGGCUGCAGUGAGGAAUAUUGGUCAAUGGGCGAGAGCCUGAACCAGCCAAGUCGCGUGAAGGAUGACGGCCCUACGGGUUGUAAACUUCUUUUGUCAGGGAGCAAUUGAGUCCACGUGUGGUCUUAGCGAGGGUAACUGAAGAAAAGGCAUCGGCUAACUCGGUGCCAGCAGCCGCGGUAAUACGGAGGAUGCGAGCGUUAUCCGGAUUUAUGGGUUUAAAGGGGUGCGUAGGCGGAAUAUCAAGUCAGCGGUAAAAAUUCGGGGCUCAACCCCGUCGUGCCGUUGAAACUGAGGUUCUUGAGUGGGCGAGAAGUAUGCGGAAUGCGUGGUGUAGCGGUGAAAUGCAUAGAUAUCACGCAGAACUCCGAUUGCGAAGGCAGCAUACCGGCGCCCAACUGACGCUGAAGCACGAAAGCGUGGGUAUCGAACAGGAUUAGAUACCCUGGUAGUC